Molecule: transfer RNA, 75 nt
Filed under: Sphaerodactylus townsendi
Lineage: Eukaryota; Metazoa; Chordata; Lepidosauria; Squamata; Sphaerodactylidae
Description: tRNA-Ser
Rfam family: tRNA
About the family: Transfer RNA (tRNA) molecules are approximately 80 nucleotides in length. Their secondary structure includes four short double-helical elements and three loops (D, anti-codon, and T loops). Further hydrogen bonds mediate the characteristic L-shaped molecular structure. tRNAs have two regions of fundamental functional importance: the anti-codon, which is responsible for specific mRNA codon recognition, and the 3' end, to which the tRNAs corresponding amino acid is attached (by aminoacyl-tRNA synthetases). tRNAs cope with the degeneracy of the genetic code in two manners: having more than one tRNA (with a specific anti-codon) for a particular amino acid; and 'wobble' base-pairing, i.e. permitting non-standard base-pairing at the 3rd anti-codon position.
Source: RNAcentral
CAGGGGCUGUGACUCAGUGGUAGAGCAUCUGCUUUGAAUUGCAGAAGGAUCCUGGUUCAUUCCCGGCAUCUCUGG